Unclassified non-coding RNA from Papio anubis (olive baboon), 117 nucleotides. It matches the Rfam family "Metazoan signal recognition particle RNA". Rfam says of the family: The signal recognition particle (SRP) is a universally conserved ribonucleoprotein. Lineage: Eukaryota; Metazoa; Chordata; Mammalia; Primates; Cercopithecidae. The record is from Ensembl.
GCUGGGCAUGGUGGCUCAUGCCUGUAAUCCCAGCACUUUAGGAAGCUGAGGUGGGUGGAUCACUUUAGUCCAGGAGUUCUGGACCAGCCUGGGCAACAGGGUGAAACCCAGUCUCUA